RNAcentral lists this ribosomal RNA (488 nucleotides) under uncultured bacterium. RNAcentral describes it as "bacterial SSU rRNA". It matches the Rfam family "Bacterial small subunit ribosomal RNA", at positions 30 to 507 of the family's 1533-position model. The record is from RNAcentral.
AUUGAACGCUGGCGGCAUGCCUUACACAUGCAAGUCGAACGGCAGCACGGGAGCAAUCCUGGUGGCGAGUGGCGAACGGGUGAGUAAUAUAUCGGAACGUGCCCAGUCGUGGGGGAUAACGUAGCGAAAGCUACACUAAUACCGCAUACGAUCUAUGGAUGAAAGCGGGGGAUCGCAAGACCUCGCGCGAUUGGAGCGGCCGAUAUCAGAUUAGGUAGUUGGUGAGGUAAAGGCUCACCAAGCCGACGAUCUGUAGCUGGUCUGAGAGGACGACCCAGCCACACUGGGACUGAGACACGGCCCAGACUCCUACGGGAGGCAGCAGUGGGGAAUUUUGGACAAUGGGCGCAAGCCUGAUCCAGCAAUGCCGCGUGCAGGAUGAAGGCCUUCGGGUUGUAAACUGCUUUUGUACCGGAACGAAACCGGUGAGCUCCUAAUACAGUUUGCCAAUGACGGUACCGUAAGAAUAAGCACCGGCUAACUACGUG